Molecule: ribosomal RNA, 497 nt
Filed under: uncultured bacterium
Lineage: Bacteria
Description: partial 16S ribosomal RNA
Rfam family: Bacterial small subunit ribosomal RNA
Source: RNAcentral
GAUGAACGCUGGCGGCGUGCCUAAUACAUGCAAGUCGAGCGAACGGACGAGAAGCUUGCUUCUCUGAUGUUAGCGGCGGACGGGUGAGUAACACGUGGAUAACCUACCUAUAAGACUGGGAUAACUUCGGGAAACCGGAGCUAAUACCGGAUAAUAUUUUGAACCGCAUGGUUCAAAAGUGAAAGACGGUCUUGCUGUCACUUAUAGAUGGAUCCGCGCUGCAUUAGCUAGUUGGUAAGGUAACGGCUUACCAAGGCAACGAUGCAUAGCCGACCUGAGAGGGUGAUCGGCCACACUGGAACUGAGACACGGUCCAGACUCCUACGGGAGGCAGCAGUAGGGAAUCUUCCGCAAUGGGCGAAAGCCUGACGGAGCAACGCCGCGCGAGUGAUGAAGGUCUUCGGAUCGUAAAACUCUGUUAUUAGGGAAGAACAUAUGUGUAAGUAACCGUGCACAUCUUGACGGUACCUAAUCAGAAAGCCACGGCUAACUACGUG